GCCUGGGUGGCUCAGUUGGUUAAGCAUCCGACUUCGGCUCAGGUCAUGAUCUCACGGUUCGUGGGUUCGAGCCCCGCGUCAGGCU
This 85-nucleotide transfer RNA is filed under the name Felis catus (domestic cat). It matches the Rfam family "tRNA". From Rfam's summary of the family: Transfer RNA (tRNA) molecules are approximately 80 nucleotides in length. Their secondary structure includes four short double-helical elements and three loops (D, anti-codon, and T loops). Lineage: Eukaryota; Metazoa; Chordata; Mammalia; Carnivora; Felidae. RNAcentral also lists the same sequence under 3 other names. The record is from Rfam by way of RNAcentral.